RNAcentral lists this long non-coding RNA (1711 nucleotides) under Rattus norvegicus (Norway rat). RNAcentral's name for it is "long non-coding RNA NONRATT015604". The record is from RNAcentral. Lineage: Eukaryota; Metazoa; Chordata; Mammalia; Rodentia; Muridae.
CCUAUGAGAAUUUUGCAGGGUCACUUGGUAGAGUAAACCAGCCCAUAAGAAGGCCUGUAGUGUAGAGCAAUGGCUCUGAGGAAAGGAAAGCAGUGAAUGGGCCAAAGGGUGAUAGCAAGAAACUGGAGGGUCGGCGCUGGAAAUUUCCUCUUAAAGAGUUCAAGCAGACAGGACCUGGAUCCUUGGAUUUUAUUUAUUGUACAAAAAACUUAGCAGCCCAGAAACUGUUGUCUUUGUCCUGUUGCCCUAUUCUCUAUUUUUCCUCUGCAUUCUGUUUGACUUCCCUUAUCAGUAUGACAGGUUCACCAGGGUCUCAAGGUGGACGUGACCUAGACAGUGUGAAGAGCUGUCGCGCCAUGGUUAUUAAUGCCCUGUCAACCUAGACCUGAGUAGGAAUUAGCCAAUGUAGGCCACACCCCUGAAGGCACAGCUAGCUUCAAGAGCCCUGGUCUCUUGGGUCUGAAGUAGAAAGGAAGAUUCCCCGUUUCUAAGAGGAGCCGUGUCCCACCCACCCCUGUAGGUUCUGGUUUCUUGCAGACCUGGUGGACCUUACGUAAACCUUUUGAAAAGUGUCACUGUUACAUGCAUGCUGCUAGAGUGAUGUGACUUGAAAGUGGGAAACAGGGCUUUUAAAUGUUUGACCUCAAAACAAUAUGCAAUAGUCCCUGUAUGUGUGGGUGUGUAUGUGCACGUGCACAUGUGUGUAUGUGAUAUUCACUCUGUCCUCAGAGAUACUUUGUCCUCGUAUUCUUGUGACUUGGGGCUUAAGAGCAGAUAAAUACUUUGUUCAUGUGUCAUCACUAAUCCUCAAAGCCACGUUCUUGCUGUCUUCUGUCUGCUGCAGACUCCAGUUCCUCAUGAAUAUGAGACCUGGAAGAAGGAAGGGUCUUUCAGGACUCUGGGUCAGGAGUCUGUCUGACCUUAAGUGACAGUCACAACUGGAGAUUGAAGGACUGAUUUCUUCAGUGAACAUAAGUGUUUGGAGUAAAAAAGCCAAUUAUUUUUUCAAUUAUAGGAAAGGGAAAAAAAAUCACAAGUCUCUUGUAGGAUCCACUGCCUCUGGGAUUUUAAAGUGGAUCUGUCUCAGCUUGAUUUCUUCUCACCAUUGCUUUGAAGUAGCAAGCUUCAUUCAAAAUAAACAUGUUUGUACUUCCAACGUUAGGUGGACUUGAUUUGAAUUAAGUGUGGCACAGAACAUUUGCAGUAAGUUUGAUGUGAAAUACUAAAUAUUAGGGAUUUGUAGGUGUUGGGCUACAUAGUCAGGCGACACCUAGAGUAAGUGUUAUGGCAGGGGUUGGCCAUCUUGGAUUCCUCUCUGUAGAGUACCUUCCCCAGCGUUUUAGGACAGCCAGACAUCAGCAUCAGUUUGUCCUAAAUUCUGUGCUGGGUGGCCUAUACGAGGCGAAUUUGGAUUUGGUGGGUAUUGGUUGUUUACACUGUAGCACUUUGAGUUUGUCAUUUGGCAGGGGUGACUUAAUUUGAAGGCAGUUAAGUAAGUGUGAGUCUCUUAAAUGGUGCUGUUUGUGACCUUUGAUGGCGGCGUGCAGAGCUGCUUCACUGAUUCACAACCGGACACAAGUCAAGACUUUAAAGCUUCUCUCCACGCGUGACUCACCACCAGACUCUGCCUGAAAACUGUAUAAUGUAACACACAAAAAUGUGGGUUUGUUUUUCCAUAAAACUUUAAUAAAAGCAUCAUGCAGCAAUAAAA